UAUGAAGAGAAGUUAUAGAUUAAACAUAUCGGUGCUCAUUGGCCAUUGUACAUAAAGAUUACACAACAAGUUGGAAAUCGCAAAUUCAACAAUGAGUCACUUGGAAGGAAUCAGUGACUAACUGCAAGCGUUGCAAAGAAACCUCGAAAGUUAGCCUACUUUUCAAUGUGUUUUUUUUUCUCCAGAGUUCUCACCAAAGGACUACUGCGCCACCUUCACAAGGUCCAGACUGGGGACAAAAGGACGGUUGGUGACAAUGGUAGUGCCCUUGCCAUUGGCAGAGAGAAGGAUGGUGUGUUUCAUUAUCCUGGAUGGAGAGCUGCCUGCGUCGGUCUUGGAAGGUGCGUGAGAGCGUGGACAGGCGGAAUGGGGUCUGCGUGGAGUGGGGUCUGCGUCACACUCUGUCAGGAACUGAUCCAUCUCAUCCUCUUCCCGCUGCAGCUCGGAACAGAACGUAGAUUCACUGCAGAGCAGAGAGAUCCACAGCGAGAGAGAGUGAGUAGGGGAUGAAGACAGAGGAGCAUCUAAACAGGCUACAUACAAAGGCGUUGAUCUGGACCGACCAUCAAGCUUUUCUG
This 578-nucleotide long non-coding RNA is filed under the name Oncorhynchus kisutch (coho salmon). RNAcentral's name for it is "lncRNA (ENSOKIG00005035913.1)". Lineage: Eukaryota; Metazoa; Chordata; Actinopteri; Salmoniformes; Salmonidae. The record is from RNAcentral.